Pseudophryne corroboree (corroboree frog) is the source of this 381-nucleotide long non-coding RNA. RefSeq lists it as uncharacterized. The record is from RefSeq and is a predicted model, not a curated record. Lineage: Eukaryota; Metazoa; Chordata; Amphibia; Anura; Myobatrachidae. The transcript is spliced from 2 exons.
CUGGCUGGUGCCUGAUCUACCACUGUAUCACUUCUCCAGGACUAAACCAUCUGCCCCAGUGUAACUGGUUGAACAGAAAAGUGUGAAUUAGAUAUGGGAAACAGCCGCAGUCACACACAGAAUAUAGGCAUGCCACAUAUCAUAUUAAUCAGCAGAAGCUGCUUGUGCCCCUAAAUGCCCUAGGCAAUUGCCUACUUUGCCUAUGCCUAAGGCCGGCUCUGAUUGCAGUCCAUCCAAAAAAACAAAUGGGAGCAGGUGAAGAUGAGAGAGACAGACCUUGUACAGAGAGGAGGGGGCAACUUGGAAGACACUUGAGAAAAGUGAAGAGAUGUAGGUUGAUACGGUUUUGUCAAGGACAUUAAAACUAUUAUAAGUACUUGA